UCCCCGAUUUCCGGGGCAGUCUCCCACGAGUCCCCACCAUUACGUGCUGGCAACAUAGGAUAAGGGUUGCGCUCGUUGCGCCACUUAAGGCAACACCUCACGGCACUAGCUGACGACAGCCAUGCAGCACCUGUGCGGGCUCCCGAAGGAGCGCCGUGUUUCCACGGUUUCACCCCGCAUGUCAAGCCCUGGUAAGGUUCUUCGCGUUGCGUCGAAUUAAGCCACAUGCUCCGCCGCUUGUGCGGGCCCCCGUCAAUUCCUUUGAGUUUUAACCUUGCGGUCGUAAUCCCCAGGCGGGGUGCUUAAUGCGUUAGCUACGGCACGGAGGGAAUGGAUAACCCCCCACACCUAGCACCCAUCGUUUACGGCGUGGACUAC
RNAcentral lists this unclassified non-coding RNA (378 nucleotides) under uncultured Actinomycetes bacterium. Its description in RNAcentral is "uncultured actinobacterium contains 16S-23S intergenic spacer region". The record is from RNAcentral. Lineage: Bacteria; Bacillati; Actinomycetota; Actinomycetes.